This 7342-nucleotide long non-coding RNA is filed under the name Gossypium barbadense (sea-island cotton). RNAcentral's name for it is "long non-coding RNA (GBAR_LNC023135)". The record is from RNAcentral. Lineage: Eukaryota; Viridiplantae; Streptophyta; Magnoliopsida; Malvales; Malvaceae.
AAAUAAGGCAACGUAACGAUUUAACGUUUAGUCAUCGAUUUCAUCGCUAUGUUGGGUGAACAUCAAUCGACUUGUGUUAAAACGGUAUGUCCUUCUCAAAAAUCAAAAGAAUUGAAAAUUCUCGUGUUUCAACCAGAUCAUGACUAAAUGUUACAUUGAACUCGUAUCUUUGAAAAUUAAGACAACAUGUGUUUUGCAAGAUACAAAUUUUCGGCGUCGCGAGGGUGCUAAUACCUUCCUCACGCGUAACCGACUCCCGAAUCCUAAUUUUUCUCUGGAUUUUCAUAUAGACCCAAAUUCAGCCUUCUUUUGUUUUAAAAAAUAAAUAUAUUAGGUAUCCGAUCACACCUAUAAAAAGGAUCGAUGCUGACUCCCUUUUUUAUCUAUUUCAAAAUCAAACUUCAGUUUUCAAGUUUUCACUAAAUCACCACAAUUAGCGACCGAAGGUAAAACUUACGUCGCUACAUAUAUAUAUAUAUAUAUAAUUUUUUUAUUUAAACUGUUUUUGUACAUUAUUUAUUUUAAAUUUCUCUUUUACAUAUUAUUUAUUUUAAACUCUUUUGUAUGUUAUUUUUAAGGUGUCUUAUAUUUUUUCAUUACUUUGUAUAUUUUUUAUUUUAAUUUGCUUUACAUAUUAUUUGUAUGAAAUUGUUUUAUAUUAUUGACUUCAAAUGGUUUUAUAUAAUAUUUUGUUGCAUAUUCUUCAUUUGUUAAUAUUGGUAUUUAAAUAAUAUUGUCAUUACACGUUCUAGAAAUUAUUUAUUAACAUCUUCAUAUUGUUGACGUUCAUUAACCUCGCAUCUAAUUCGUGUUUUAUUAUUCCAUGCUCUACGUUACAUUUUUGUUUUAUCUAGUUCAAAUCACAUCGUGCAUCAAGCUCCAACGUAUUUGUUCAAUAUAGACCAAUUUGUAUUGCUGGAAACAAAAUGAACACGCAUCGUUAAUUGCUAUACUCGUUAUUAUUCAAAAAUAAAAUUUUCAAGAAAAGGCAAUAUUUCGCGUUUUGCGAAUGAAAGAAAUCGUACCCUAACUUACGGGGUUUCGAUUUUCUUGUUAAACCAAAAUAGCCAAAUAUCCUUUUGCAUUUCAAAGUACAUGAAGUUUUCGAUAAAAAUUAAAGGCAAACUUGCUCUCGAGAAUUCCAACGCCGCAUCCUAACUUACGGGAUGUGGCAUUUUGUUAUCUCGGGACGAGUGGGCCUUUGAAGCUCGCUUCAAUUCAAUUCAAGCAUUUAAAAAAAAUGAACAUUGAUAAAAAAGGAUCGUAUUUUAAAAAUCUUUUCAAAAUUUCAAGUCUCGACAUUAAGACGUUAAUUAAUCAAUUAGGUACCAAUUUUGGGCGUGACGAGGAUGCUAAUCCUUCCUCGCACGUAACCGACUCCCGAACCCGAUUUCUCAAAUUCUGUAGACCAAAAUCGUUGUUUUAAUAAAUCAAAAUACUUUAUUACAAAAUUGUUAGGUGAUCAGAUCACAUCUCAAAAAAAUCGGUGGCGACCCCCAUUUUUGUUUUUUUUUUAAUUUUUAAACAAAGUCGACUCCGUUUUCAAAAAUGGUUUCGACAAAAAAGAAACUUAAAAAGACGAAAAGAAUUAGAUUACUCGAAAAUAAAAAUAUAAGGACUAGUUAUGUAAUUUGAUAUGAAGUUUUAAUCUAAAAUGAUGAUAUAAUAUGUCAAGUCUUCUUAUCACAUUGUUAACAACAAUUAAAUCGAAAGCAUUAGUAACUAUAUUAUAACUUUAUUGAAGAAGUAUUGUGACCAAAAAAAGUAAGUUAAACUAUAGAUAAGUGAUAAAAUUUUGUAGUUUAACCAAAUAUCAUUUCACUCACAAAAAAAUUGGCUAAAUUGACUAUAGCAUAUAAAAGCUUGCAAUAAUUUAACUCAAUCCCAUUGUUUUCAAUAUCGGUAUAGCCACUCGAAACAUGGGGUUAGACCGGCUGACUUGUGAACUAGUUGAAUUGGCCAAUCGUAUAGUUGAACUAAUUUGAUUUAUUUAUAAUUUUUUAAUGACUUUUUCAAUUAAAGUGGAUAAAUCAGUUGGACUGGUCGGACUGGAAACGGGUGGUCUAACCAAUUCAACCACUAUUCCAACUUUGAAAACCUUAUUCAACCACAAAGUUGUUAAAAACAAUUGAAGUACGAAAUUGAGAUGUAGUGUUUUGAGAUAAAUAUUUUUAUUAGUUUUAUCCCUAAAAAAUCUAAAUCGUUUUUAAAAGAACAUUGAAUAAGAUUAAAAAAUUAAUGGAAAAAUUAAGUAGUGUGUAUGAUAAAUAUCAAUUAAAUAAAAUAUAUUUUAAAAAACAAAAUGAUGGUUAUCAAUUUUAAAAUAUUUUCAAAAUAAAUAAAUUUAAAAUUGAGAAUCAAAUUAAUUAGAUUAGCUUAAAAACUAGAUUUGAUUUUGGAUUUGAAUUUAAAUAAAUAUUUUUAAAAAUAGAUUUAAAAGAAAUUAAUGUUUAAAUUUAAAAAACUUAUCCUUCGUUUAGUAAGCAAGCCUAAGUUUUUCUCCUAUAUAUACUGCUAUGUACUGUUUUAUUAUUCAGAUUUAAAUAUUCAAAAUGAUUAAUAUGGGUUUAAAAAUGUUGUUUUCUAUUUCUUUCUUUCAAUGGGUUUUAUUCGUUCAAUCUAUGGAACCAUUUGUUUAUGACGUCAACCUUGCAGGAGCCAUUGGAGAUGGAGAGAGUGAUGAUACAGAGGUUUAUUUUCAUCUUAAAUGCUAUAGUUGAGAAGUUUAUGAUAUUCUGAUUGUUUAUUUAUAUAACUAUUUUAGGCCUUCAAGAAUGCAUGGAAUGUUGUCUGUAGUUCGCAUAUCUCUUCAGGGAUAUUUCGUGUUCCUUAUGGACAAAAGUUUUUGCUGCAACCCUUGACUUUUAAUGGUGAAUGUCGACCAAAAAACAUUACUUUUCAGGUAAUAAUAAUAAUUGUUUUCAUCUUUUCUUUAAUUUUAUUAAUAAUAUUAUUUACAAAAUUUUUGAGUUGGGUUAUUUAGAUUGAUGGCAUACUCAUUGCCCCAAGUGAUCCAUCUUCAUGGAAAUGCAAAGAAACAAACUGUAACAAUUGGAUAACCUUUCAACAUUUCGAUGGCCUCAUCAUUCAAGGAACUGGAAGCCUCCAUGGCCAAGGACAAAAAUGGUGGCAAAUGGGUUGCAUGCAUAAUAAAGUGGUAUACUAUUAGUUUGGAUUUUUUGCAGCUUCUUAAUAUUUGCUUCAACACAAUUUUAUAUAAUUUCUAAUUAUAUUUAUCAAAUUUUCUGUUGACAGCUUUGUUCUUCGCAAAAAGCAGCGGUAUGCCUUCACUUAUUAAAAAAUAGGAGAUUUUUUUCAUUUAGUCUCCAAUUUUAUUUAUCCUUUUUAUUGUUUGUUUUGCUUAGAGUUUUGCCAUCUUAGACUCUAAGAAUGUGCAUAUUAGUGGCUUAACUUCCGUGGACAGUCGAAAAUGGCAUAUUUCAAUUGAAAGAUCUUCAUCCGUUCAUGCUUCUAAACUCAAUAUCAAAGCUCCAAAAGAUAGUCCCAACACCGAUGGCAUUCGUAUCCAACAUUCCACCAAUGUUACCAUAGCCUCCUCAAUCAUUAAGACUGGUAUAUAAAAAAUAAGUAUUUAUUUUCAUAACAAAAUAUAUAUAGACAAGUAUUGGGUUUGACAUUUUUUUUCUUUUUUUCUUUUAGGUGAUGAUUGUAUAGGAAUUGGAGACGGGUCAAAAUAUAUUAACAUUAAUCGGAUUUUUUGUGGUCCAGGUCAUGGAAUUAGGUAUUUUAUUAUUAUUUUUAUUAAAAAAAUUCACUUAUUUGUUUGUUUUUAUUUUUCACUCUUAUAGAAUUAGGUAUUUUGAUUUAAAACAUAUAUGUUUUUUUUUACUUAUUUAGUUUUUAUUAUUCACUUUUAUAUGAAGUAUUGGAAGUCUUGGUGAAAAUGGAAGAAGGGAGACAGUUGAAUAUGUUACUGUAAGGAGAGCUAACUUUUAUGCUACAGAGAAUGGUCUUAAAAUAAAGACAUGGCAGGUAAUUAAAUUUUUAAUUAAAUGUAUUUUAUGAUUAUUAUUUUUACAUUAUAUUUAACUAAUUAUCAUGUUAUGUGUACAGGGAGGACAUGGAUAUGCAAGAUAUAUAAGAUUUGAACAUAUAUCGUUUAGUAAAGUAAUUAGACCUAUUAUUAUUGAUCAAUACACUUGCCCUCUUCAUCAACAUUGCAAGAAUUAUGUAAGUUUCAUUUUAAUCUCUUCAUGAAUUCAAUCGAAUAUUCAAUUUAACAUAUAUAUUGUAAUGAUAUUUUUGUAUUUUGUAUUUUAAUUUUACAGAGUACAGCUGUGGAGAUUAGCAAUAUCUUAUAUAAUGAUUUAAGAGGGACAACAAACGGUGAAAUUGCGGUGGAACUUUCAUGCAGUAAGUCAGUUCCAUGCAAAAAUAUCCGCAUGAAAGACAUACAGUUGGAUUACGGAAUAAAUGGUAAAAUGUAUGAUGGGCACCCCAAAUCUCAUUGUUUGAAUGUUGUUCAAAGUUGGGACGAAGGAUAUGUUUAUCCAAAUGUUCCUUGUUUAACAAAAAAAUUAAGUUACUAAACUUUAUUAUUUUGGAUGUAAUAAUUAGGUUGUAUCAAAAGGUUGCAUAUAUAAAAUAAAUAAAUGCAUCUUUUUUAUAUCAAAAUUUUCUUCAAUAAUCUUCUCUUACUUAUUAUGAUUGGUUAUUAUUUUAUUAAAAUAAUUAGAGAUAUCAAUAUUACAAGAUAAAAAGAAAAUAAAGUUAAUAUUUUCAAUAACUUUAAAUCAAAGAAUCAUUGAACUAAGUUUUUGAGCUGUGAACUUGUUUUCUUUAACAAAUAUUUUGGUACACUUAUUUUAAAGAUUGGAGCAUAAUAUUACACUUGUUUUCACAUUGCAAUGUACCCAUGGUUUGCCCUUGUCAUAUCACUCCAUAUGUUUGUAUGGGAGUAUGUUCAAUCUCCAUCCACAUCUCAUAACCUUUAUUCCAAUCAUUGUUCUGCAUAUUGAUUUCCUCUAGGCGUCGAAACAAAGAAUGUGUUAAAAUCAUUAAUUAAAAAUAAAAAAAUAUAUUUUUUAAAAAUAAUACAAAUGUGUUAAUAUCUAAUUACAAAUAUUUAAUGGUUAUAUUUAAAUAUUUAAAAUAGAGUUUAUAUAUUCUAAUUAAAUUUUAUAAGUAAUUAAUAUUUAUUGCUUAAAAAUAUUUAAAAUUUAUACUUCAUAUAUUAAAAUAUUAACAACCAGUUAUAAUAAAUUUUUUUUAUAUUCUUACUAAAAUGCAAUAAUAUUAAUUAAUUUGAACAUUAUUUAAAUUUAUAUUUGUUACUUGAUAAUAUCAUGUCUAGAAUGAACAUUUUAUUUUUCAAAAAUACUUUUUGAGAGUAAUGCUAAACCCUCAAAUAUUAAAUCAAACUUUUCAAAAGUAUUUCUCCAAAGCACUUUUUAAAAGCGCUUUUUAAAAGUAUUGUUAAACUAGGCCUUAAAAACAUAUUUUAACCAUAUAACUAAAAUGUAAUAUAGAACAAACGUUGGUAUUGUUAUUAUUAUUAGGCUUAAUUCACAAGCAUAUUCAUUUUCCACUUUGGUAAACUUUUUUUUUUCCUAACUUAGUACUUAAAAGAGGAGGAGACGACUUACCCGAAAUCCCUCGUGGUCGUUUCGUCAGAGACCCUCUCUCCGUCCCCGAAAUCAAACCCAAAAAGCCGGGAGAGAAACUCUCUUCUCUCGAUCGGCAGGCAUGGAGACGACGCAAAAUGGGUUCUUGAAACCCUAACAGAGAAAAUGGGGAGAGGGGAGGAGUGCUCUCUCUGAUUUUUUUUUUAAAAAAAGGGACAAGAUAUGGCAAAAAAUAAAAAAUUUUGUUUAAAUAACAAGGCAAAACGGUGUCGUUUUGCACCAGGGACCCUAGCGCCAAAAUGACGUCGUUUAUGGCAUGCCCGCGCGCGACCCGACCCGACCCAACCCGUUCCAGGGGGAUCCGCGCAUUUUGCCCUUUCGGGGAUAUCUAUCCCUUUGGUCCCUCCAUUUUUAGGGCGCGCUACAAUCUAACCUUUAUUUGUUUCUUUUGUUUUUUUUUUUUUAAAUUUUGCCGCAUGCUUUGUGUUGGCUUCAAUUUGGUCCAUCUUGAAACGCAGCGCGUGAGGGCUGGGGAUAUUUCCCAAUCAGUCCCUCAUUUGUUUCAGCAUGUUUCAUCUAGGUCCUCGACGGCCUAUUUUCUAUUAUUUACAAGUUUUACCCUUAAAUUUUAAUUCGAUUUCAGCCUAAUCCUCUGUUUAAUUAAUUAAUUAAUUAAUUAUUUAAAAAAAACUGUUAAUAUUAUUCUUUUUAAGUUUUUUAUAUAUUAUUUAUUUUAAAUAAUUUUAUUGUUACUUAUUUUAAUCCUUUUUUUACGUCUUAUGUAUUUUAAAUUAUUAUAAAUUUUAAAUAUUUUACAUAUAUUAUUUAUUUUAACUACUGUACAUAUUACUUAUUUUGAAAUAUUUUUAUACGUUAUUUAUUUUAAACCAUUAUAUAUGUAUUAUCUAUUUUAAGUUUUUUUUAUACUUUAUUUAGUUAUACUAUUUUAUAUGUAAACUAUUUUAAAUUCUUUUACUAUUUAUCGUAAACCUUUUAUUAUUAUUAAUUUUAAGAUUUCAUAUGUUACUUAUUUUAAACUUUUAUAUAUAUAUGUAGAAGCCCAAAUAAGGCAACGUAACGAUUUAACGUUUAGUCAUCGAUUUCAUCGCUAUGUUGGGUGAACAUCAAUCGACUUGUGUUAAAACGGUAUGUCCUUCUCAAAAAUCAAAAGAAUUGAAAAUUCUCGUGUUUCAACCAGAUCAUGACUAAAUGUUACAUUGAACUCGUAUCUUUGAAAAUUAAGACAACAUGUGUUUUGCAAGAUACAAAUUUUGGGCGUCGCGAGGGUGCUAAUACCUUCCUCACGCGUAACCGACUCCCGAAUCCUAAUUUUUCUCUGGAUUUUCAUAUAGACCCAAAUUCAGCCUUCUUUUGUUUUAAAAAAUAAAUAUAUUAGGUAUCCGAUCACACCUAUAAAAAGGAUCGAUGCUGACUCCCUUUUUUAUCUAUUUCAAAAUCAAACUUCAGUUUUCAAGUUUUCACUAAAUCACCACAAUUAGCGACCGAAGGUAAAACUUACGUCGCUACAUAUAUAUAUAUAUAUAAUUUUUUUAUUUAAACUGUUUUUGUACAUUAUUUAUUUUAAAUUUCUCUUUUACAUAUUAUUUAUUUUAAACUCUUUUGUAUGUUAUUUUUAAGGUGUCUUAUAUUUUUUCAUUACUUUGUAUAUUUUUUAUUUUAAUUUGCUUUACAUAUUAUUUGUAUGAAAUUGUUUUAUAUUAUUGACUUCAAAUGGUUUUAUAUAAUAUUUUGUUGCA